GUGAAGAACGCAGCGAAAUGCGAUAAGUAAUGUGAAUUGCAGAAUUCAGUGAAUCAUCGAAUCUUUGAACGCACAUUGCGCCCGCCAGUAUUCUGGCGGGCAUGCCUGUUCGAGCGUCAUUUCAACCAUCAAGCCCCCGGCUUGUGUUGGGGACCUGCGGCUGCCCGCAGGCCCUGAAAACCAGUGGCGGGCUCGCUGUCACUCCGAGCGUAGUAGCAUAUAUCUCGCUCAGGGCGUGCUGCGGGUUCCGGCCGUUAAAAGCCUUUUUUUACCCAAGGUUGACCUCGGAUCAGGUAGGAAGACCCGCUGAACUUAAGCAUAUCAAUAAGCGGAGGA
RNAcentral lists this unclassified non-coding RNA (336 nucleotides) under soil metagenome. RNAcentral's name for it is "partial contains 5.8S ribosomal RNA, internal transcribed spacer 2, and large subunit ribosomal RNA". The stretch from base 2 to 119 matches the Rfam family "5.8S ribosomal RNA", at positions 37 to 154 of the family's 154-position model. The record is from RNAcentral.